RNA transcript from Mus musculus (house mouse), 598 nucleotides. It is a transcript of the gene named predicted gene 12338, with no coding region annotated. The transcript has a single exon. The record is from RefSeq and is marked validated. Lineage: Eukaryota; Metazoa; Chordata; Mammalia; Rodentia; Muridae.
ACUUCCGUUCAGGCUGGUACAAGCUUACUGCUGGUUUGAAGGUCUUGCGGGCCAGCUCACAGUUAGCUGUGAAAUUAUUUGGAUUUUGGAAUCAGCAAAUGUGUCUGGUUUAAUCCUAAGUUCUAGUACACAAAUGAUUUCCAAAGUUAUUUGAAAAUACUGGACAAAAAAAUUCUUUUACUAGCAGAGCAAGGUCGUGUAGAAAGGGGAGUUAGGUGGUACGGCCAUUUCUUCCGCCUUCCGUGUCUGCGGCCCUCGCAGAACUUCCAGCAGCGACAUGUUGGGCCAGAGUAUCCGGAGGUUCACGACCUCCGUGGUCCGUCGCAGCCACUAUGAGGAGGGUCCGGGGAAGAAUUUGCCAUUUUCAGUGGAAAACAAGUGGCGGUUGCUGGCUAUGAUGACCGUGUACUUUGGAUCUGGGUUUGCCGCACCUUUCUUUAUAGUAAGACACCAGCUACUUAAAAAAUAAGGAUAUUUAAUUCAUCCCUUUAACAGAAUGAAGAAAGUUUAAGAGAUGAUCUGAAAAUUGGAUUAAACUCUUGAACUCUUAUACUAGAAAAAAUUGUAAAUAAACUAAUGACAUAAAAAAAAAAAAAAA